RNAcentral lists this long non-coding RNA (3163 nucleotides) under Brassica napus (rape). RNAcentral's name for it is "long non-coding RNA (BNAP_LNC000396)". The record is from RNAcentral. Lineage: Eukaryota; Viridiplantae; Streptophyta; Magnoliopsida; Brassicales; Brassicaceae.
UUCAAGACGGCGUGCUCAAACCGGUCGGUUUAGGUUUCCUCCGGUUCGAGUUCUUCAACGAUGGGUUAGCCGACGAUGACGAAAAAAGAACCAACUUCCAAGCCUUCCGACCACACCUUGAACUUGUCGGAAAACGGGAGAUCAAGAACCUCAUCAGGAGAUACGAGCAAGAGGAAAAGCAACCUGUGAGGUGUCUUAUAAACAACGCUUUUGUGCCGUGGGUGUGUGACGUGGCUGAUGAGCUUCAUAUCCCUUCGGCUGUUCUAUGGGUCCAGUCUUGCGCUUGUCUCACCGCUUAUUAUUAUUACCACCACCGGCUAGUUAAGUUCCCGACCAAAACUGAGCCGGAGAUUAACGUUGAAAUCCCAAGCUUACCUUUGUUGAAGCAUGGCGAGAUCCCAAGCUUCCUUCACCCUUCAUCUCCCUUUGCAGCUUAUGGAGAAGUCAUUUUAGACCAGCUCAAGCGACUUGUAAGCCACAAGCCUCUCUUUGUUUUCAUAGACACUUUUCAAGAACUCGAAAAAGAGAUCGUCGACCACAUGUCUAACCUCUGUCCUCAAGUCAAGUUUAGCCCUCUCGGUCCUCUCUUCAAGAUGGCUCAAACUAUAAGCUCUGACGUUAAGGGAGACAUCUCCGCGCCAGCGAGUGACUGCAUGGAGUGGCUCGACUCGAGAGAACCAUCCUCAGUCGUUUAUAUCUCCUUUGGCACUAUAGUCCACUUGAAGCAAGAGCAGUUCGAGGAGAUCGCUCAUGGUGUUUUGAGCUCUGGUUUGUCCUUCUUAUGGGUGGUCCGGCCUCCUAUGGAAGGUUCAAGUGUGAAACCAUAUGUAUUGCCUCGUGAGCUUGAAGAGAAAGGGAAAAUCGUUGAAUGGUGUUCACAAGAGAGAGUGUUGGCUCAUCCUGCGGUUGCUUGCUUCUUAAGUCACUGCGGAUGGAACUCGACAAUGGAGGCUUUGUCUUCGGGAGUUCCCAUGGUCUGUUUUCCGAUGUGGGGAGAUCAGGUGACUGAUGCUGUGUACUUGGUUGAUGUUUUCAAGACAGGAGUGAGACUUGGCCGCGGAGCGGCUGAGGAGAAGAUUGUUCCGAGGGAGGUUGUGUCGGAGAAGUUGCUUGAGGCCACCGUUGGGAAAAAGGCGGUGGAGAUUAGAGAAAGCGCACGGAGGUGGAAGGAAGAAGCGGAGGCAGCCGUGGCGUUCGGUGGAUCAUCGGAUAGGAAGUUUCAAGAGUUUGUGGACGAGUUGAUUACGAAAUCUGUUGCGAGAAAAGACAACGGAGAAUACUCAUGAUGAUGUCACGUAAUAGUCCAAAUUGUUGAUGUAACUCCGAAACCUAGACACCACUACGGUAUGUCAGUAUUCAUAUUAUCUUUUUUCUUUUUCCUUUUGGGUAAAUAACACAUCAAAUCCCAUCUCAUGCUCUAGUGAUGUCGAUCUAUCAAUUUUUACAUUCUAUUUCAUCACUUCGAGCCACAAGCACUUAGAUUUUUAAAACCAUUUUGAUGCAUUAAACUAAUGUCGCCAUAUGGCUUUAAGGUCAUUUAGUAUUGGGCAAUUAUCAAUAAUAGUACAUUUUGAGUUUUUGUCUCAAAAUAGCAUUAGAAGGAGAAAGUCACAAAAAUGACAUUCAUUUAAAGAGUAAAAUAUCUCUAAUACCAUUAGUUUAGAAUUAAAUAAACAAAAAAAAAUAAAAUAAAAAAUAAAAUAAAAAAAAUGGAAAAAAAUAAAACUUUUUUGUAUAGUUUCAGAUUAUAUGUUUUCAGAUUCGAAAUUUUUUAUAAUUUUUUUUGAAAUUAUUUUUUUCGAAUUUUAUUUUUAUUUUUUUUUCAAAUUUUCUUUUUAUAAUUCAAAAAUAAUUUUUGAAACUGUUUUUAAAAUUUAUAUUUUUAAUUUUUUAGUAUUUAUUUUUUAUUUUAUAAAAUUUUAAACCCUAAUUCCAAAACCCACUCCUUAACUCUAAACCCUAAGGUUUGGAUUAAUUAACCCAAAGGGUAUAAGUGUAUAUUUAUUUACCUCUUUAAUGAAAUAUAUUUUUGUGACUUUGAGCUUUGAUUGCUAGUUUAGGAACAAAAACUUGGUUUGAUGCUAUCCUAGUAUUUUUCUCUAUAAAAUAACUUCUUAUUCAUUAAUCUUUGUUUUUUUACUAAUCAAAAAUUAUGUCAUAAAAAAACUUUUGGAAACUUAUAAUAAAAUUUAUAGAAUCAACACAAUCUCAAUAAUCUUCUAAGAUUAUACAAUAUCAAGACUUUGAUAUUCAAACUAUUUAAAAUAAAAAGAUUAUUGCCAGCUUGUCUCAGACGGAGACGUAUGCAAAGCUUCUAUUUAAUCCGAAAAUUGAGAUAGAUGGAGAGACGAACAUAAGAAUAUAUAUAGCAGAAAAGAUUAGAUAGGAAUUAUCGAAAUUGAAGGUUUUAAAGAACAAGGAUAGGUUUCAACUUGUCUGACAAUAAACUUUACGUGUAACUAUAGUUAAUCCGAAAAUUGAAAAAAGAAAACAAAAAAGACCGAUAAAUUACUAUAGGGUUAAAAUCGUCCAAUAAAUAUCGAUAAUAACGGAGAAGUAAGUCGAUGGGUAUUGAGCUAAAUAGGGUAAAGUGCUAAUGUGUGGAGUGCAAUUUCUCAAAAUAAAAUCAGUUUCUACUUUCUAGUUUCCAUAAGGAAAAUAAAAAUCGAUGGAACCGUCUCUUGAGCAUGUGAUGCUCGUAUCUUUCCCAGGCCAAGGGCACAUAAACCCUCUACUUCGUCUCGGAAAGCUCAUAGCUUCGAAAGGCCUACUGGUCACCUUUGUCACCACAGAGCAGCCAUGGGGAGAGAAGAUGCGUCAAGCCAACAAGAUUCAAGACGGCGUGCUCAAACCGGUCGGUUUAGGUUUCCUCCGGUUCGAGUUCUUCAACGAUGGGUUAGCCGACGAUGACGAAAAAAGAACCAACUUCCAAGCCUUCCGACCACACCUUGAACUUGUCGGAAAACGGGAGAUCAAGAACCUCAUCAGGAGAUACGAGCAAGAGGAAAAGCAACCUGUGAGGUGUCUUAUAAACAACGCUUUUGUGCCGUGGGUGUGUGACGUGGCUGAUGAGCUUCAUAUCCCUUCGGCUGUUCUAUGGGUCCAGUCUUGCGCUUGUCUCACCGCUUAUUAUUAUUACCACCACCGGCUAGUUAAGUUCCCG